AGCAGCCGCGGUAAUUCCAGCUCCAAUAGCGUAUAUUAAAGUUGUUGCAGUUAAAAAGCUCGUAGUUGAAUUUCGGGAUUGACUCGAUGGUCGUGCCUUAAGGGGUAUGAACUGUCGUUGUUGAUUUCUCACCUUCUGGAGAAGCUCGAUGUCCUUAAUUGGAUGUCUUGUGGAACCAGGACCUUUACCUUGAAAAAAUUAGAGUGUUUAAAGCAGGCAUUUUGCUCGAAUACAUUAGCAUGGAAUAAUAGAAUAGGACGGCAUGGUUCUAUUUUGUU
RNAcentral lists this ribosomal RNA (278 nucleotides) under Glomeromycota sp. RNAcentral describes it as "partial small subunit ribosomal RNA". It matches the Rfam family "Eukaryotic small subunit ribosomal RNA", at positions 569 to 845 of the family's 1831-position model. Lineage: Eukaryota; Fungi; Glomeromycota. The record is from RNAcentral.